Long non-coding RNA from Pectinophora gossypiella (pink bollworm), 517 nucleotides. RefSeq lists it as uncharacterized. NCBI's taxonomy places the organism in Eukaryota, Metazoa, Arthropoda, Insecta, Lepidoptera, Gelechiidae. The record is from RefSeq and is a predicted model, not a curated record. The transcript is spliced from 2 exons.
CUUUAAUACCUUCAAGGUGCGUCAUUCAUUUUUAAAACUCGAAGAGGUUAGACACGACACGAGUGCAUCUACUUGAUCAACAUGACGACGUCAUCUGAAGACAUCACGUACAUGUUCGAACAACAUGCGCAAGACCCGCUGGCAAACUUUGAUGAAGAUUAUCCAGAGUUGGCCAGACUCCACCGCGAACCAAAGAAGAGGAAGUCUGCCAAGCGAAAUGUUAGCGUGCAGUGCGGCUCAAAAAAAAUACGUCAUAAGGACACAUCAUCCUUCGUGCUACAAAACCACCACACCCCGGGCACUCGACUAAUUAGAGUCCAAGUUGUCGAUCUAGAGAACAGUCCUCAAGUUACUCAUGACAACGGGGACCCUGAGGAAAACAUUUUAAUGAGCGCCCAGUACGUGGUACAUAAGGAUUCCUAUGAUGAAGUGUUAACGCAGACAGAAGCACUUAUCGCAAACAUAUCAAAAAAGUUGUGUAAUUAUCAUUUCUAGUGCAAUAAAUAUUUUAUAUUUA